CAAUUCUGGUUCUGCUCUCCGAUGUCCUGCAUCACCAAAAAUGGCAAAGAGAGAGCAGAUGAAAGCACAACUCCUUUCCUCUCUCACUCUCCUUCUAACUCCAGAAUUAAACCCAACACUCAACCUCUACCUCACCCUCCUCCUAUAUAUUGACAUCAUCUUCCUUCACAUUUUACUCACAUCCUAAAUUAACUACAUAUUUCAUUUGCAUCAUCAUCUAAACACAUUUUACAUGACUAUUCCCCGUUCUUUAAAAUUGAUCCGCCUCUUAAAAAAAGCUUGGAGCACCCUUAAACAAUCCAACGCUAGGAGAAACAAAAAUCAAAAGAAUAGAGCAACAGCAAGUUUACCAAUUGUACUCUCCCAAAUUCAAAAGCUUGAUACAAUCUAUGUCCAAACCGCGGCAGAUAUGGAGGUGGUGGAAGGAUGCAAAUACUGAAAGUUCUUUGGAAUCUCGGGGCGGAGACACUAGUGGGUAGAACUCUGACUCAAACAACGACAACGCCGGAACAAGCAACUGUGACUAGUAAUUUAAUUAUUAGUGGCUGUUAUGUAGUUUGAAAUCUGCAGACAUAAUAUUAUUUGUUUUAUUUUGGUGUGUAAUUUUAAGUCUUCGGACAUUAACACUCUUUGUUUUGUUUCGGUGUGUAAUUUUAAGUCUUUGGACAUUAACACUCUUUGUUUCAUUUCAAUGUGUAAUUGUGAUGUUUGAAGAGACUUUUAGUUUUUAUUUGA
Long non-coding RNA from Prunus persica (peach), 735 nucleotides. RefSeq lists it as uncharacterized. The transcript is spliced from 2 exons. NCBI's taxonomy places the organism in Eukaryota, Viridiplantae, Streptophyta, Magnoliopsida, Rosales, Rosaceae. The record is from RefSeq and is a predicted model, not a curated record.